Molecule: small RNA, 300 nt
Filed under: Arabidopsis thaliana (thale cress)
Lineage: Eukaryota; Viridiplantae; Streptophyta; Magnoliopsida; Brassicales; Brassicaceae
Description: ATSL207230
Source: RNAcentral
AGUGGGGGAUGAGGAGGAUCCGAAGACGCUUUGAUAGCUCAACAAGUCUUGUAGAGUUGGUCACCCUUGGUCGAGUAAAUGGAUCGAGUAGAGGAUCGAGUAGGAGGGGCGAGUAGAUCAAUCUGCUGCUUCAUCUGAGGCUGCCUUGAUCUAGUAAGAGGGUCGAGUGAAUUUUAGCCUCAUCUGUAGCUGCCUGGAUCGAGUAAAGAGGUCGAGUGAAAUGAUGCCUCUUCUGUAGCUGCCUGGAUCGAGUGAAUGGAUCGAGUAGAGUCCUUUUUAGCUCCUUCUGCACCUGAAAAA